ACCAAGGUUUGACGUGUAAGUGGUAGUGAUCUGAAAGUGAACGACCCUUCGGGAGCUUACACAGGUGCUGCAUGGCUGUCGUCAGCUCGUGUCGUGAGAUGUCGGUUAAGUCCGCUAACGAGCGCAACCCUCACUGUGUGUUACAUGUGUCACACGGGACUGCCGGUUUUUAAGCCGGAGGAAGGCGAGGAUGACGUCAAGUCAGCAUGGCCUUUAUAUCUUGGGCUACACACACGCUACAAUGGUCUGUACAAUAGGUUGCCAAGCCGCGAGGCGGAGCCAAUCCUUAAAGCAGGCCUCAGUUCAGAUUGCAGGCUGCAACCCGCCUGCAUGAAGAUGGAGUUGCUAGUAACCGCAGGUCAGCUAUACUGCAGUGAAUACGUUCCCGGGUCUU
RNAcentral lists this ribosomal RNA (394 nucleotides) under uncultured Anaerolineaceae bacterium. RNAcentral's name for it is "bacterial SSU rRNA". It matches the Rfam family "Bacterial small subunit ribosomal RNA", at positions 973 to 1382 of the family's 1533-position model. Lineage: Bacteria; Bacillati; Chloroflexota; Anaerolineae; Anaerolineales; Anaerolineaceae. The record is from RNAcentral.